Molecule: ribosomal RNA, 495 nt
Filed under: uncultured bacterium
Lineage: Bacteria
Description: partial 16S ribosomal RNA
Rfam family: Bacterial small subunit ribosomal RNA
Source: RNAcentral
GACGAACGCUGGCGGCGUGCCUAAUACAUGCAAGUAGAACGCUGAAGGUAUAGCUUGCUUCUCUGGAUGAGUUGCGAACGGGUGAGUAACGCGUAGGAAACCUGACUGGUCGUGGGUGAUAACUAUUGGAAACGAUAGCUAAUACCACAUAAGAGUAGAUAUUGCAUGUUAUUUGCUUAUAAGUUGUAAUAGCAUCCCUACCCACUGCUCCUGCGUUGUAUUAGCUAGUUGGUGGGGUAACGGCUCACCAAGGCGACGAUACAUAGCCGACCUGAGAGGGUGAUCGGCCACACUGGGACUGAGACACGGCCCAGACUCCUACGGGAGGCAGCAGUAGGGAAUCUUCGGCAAUGGACGGAAGUCUGACCGAGCAACGCCGCGUGAGUGAAGAAGGGUUUCGGAUCGUAAAGCUCUGUUGUAAGAGAAGAACGGGUGUGAGAGUGGAAAGUUCACACUGUGACGGUAUCUUACCAGAAAGGGACGGCUAACUACGUG